This 253-nucleotide ribosomal RNA is filed under the name uncultured bacterium. RNAcentral describes it as "partial 16S ribosomal RNA". It matches the Rfam family "Bacterial small subunit ribosomal RNA", at positions 524 to 776 of the family's 1533-position model. The record is from RNAcentral.
UACGGAGGGUGCGAGCGUUGUCCGGAAUUAUUGGGUUUAAAGGGUGCGUAGGCGGUUUUUUAAGUCAGAGGUGAAAUCCCACAGCUUAACUGUGGAACUGCCUUUGAUACUGGAAGACUUGAGUAUAGUAGAGGUAGGCGGAAUUGAAGGUGUAGCGGUGAAAUGCAUAGAUAUCUUCAAGAACACCAAUUGCGUAGGCAGCUUACUGGGCUAUAACUGACGCUGAGGCACGAAAGCAUGGGGAGCAAACAGG